This 253-nucleotide ribosomal RNA is filed under the name uncultured bacterium. RNAcentral's name for it is "partial 16S ribosomal RNA". It matches the Rfam family "Bacterial small subunit ribosomal RNA", at positions 524 to 776 of the family's 1533-position model. The record is from RNAcentral.
UACGGAGGGUGCAAGCGUUAAUCGGAAUUACUGGGCGUAAAGGGUGCGUAGGCGGUUGUUUAAGUCUGUUGUGAAAUCCCCGGGCUCAACCUGGGAAUGGCAAUGGAUACUGGGCAGCUAGAGUGUGUCAGAGGAUGGUGGAAUUCCCGGUGUAGCGGUGAAAUGCGUAGGGAUCGGGAGGAACACCGGUGGCGAAGGCGGCGAUCUGGGUAGAUACUGACGCUGAGGUGCGAAAGCGUGGGGAGCAAACAGG